GAAAGACCCCGUGAACCUUUACUAUAGCUUGACACUGAACAUUGAAUUUUGAUGUGUAGGAUAGGUGGGAGCCUUUGAAGCAGUGACGCCAGUCAUUGUGGAGGCGACCUUGAAAUACCACCCUUUAACGUUUGAUGUUCUAACGAAGUGCCUGAAACGGGUACUCGGACAGUGUCUGGUGGGUAGUUUGACUGGGGCGGUCUCCUCCCAAAGCGUAACGGAGGAGCACGAAGGUUUGCUAAUGACGGUCGGACAUCGUCAGGUUAGUGCAAUGGUAUAAGCAAGCUUAACUGCGAGACAGACAAGUCGAGCAGGUGCGAAAGCAGGUCAUAGUGAUCCGGUGGUUCUGAAUGGAAGGGCCAUCGCUCAACGGAUAAAAGGUACUCCGGGGAUAACAGGCUGAUACCGCCCAAGAGUUCAUAUCGACGGCGGUGUUUGGCACCUCGAUGUCGGCUCAUCACAUCCUGGGGCUGAAGUAGGUCCCAAGGGUAUGGCUGUUCGCCAUUUAAAGUGGUACGCGAGCUGGGUUUAGAACGUCGUGAGACAGUUCGGUCCCUAUCUGCCGUGGGCGUUGGAUGAUUGAUUGGGGCUGCUCCUAGUACGAGAGGACCGGAGUGGACGCAUCACUGGUGUUCCAGUUGUCUCGCCAGAGGCAUUGCUGGGUAGCUAAAUGCGGAAGAGAUAAGUGCUGAAAGCAUCUAAGCACGAAACUUGCCAAGAGAUGAGUCAUCCCUGACUUUAAGUCAGUAAGGGUUGUUGUAGACUACGACGUAGAUAGGUUGGGUGUGUAAGUGUAGUGAUACAUUGAGCUAACCAAUACUAAUUGCCCGAGAGGCUUAACUAU
This 844-nucleotide ribosomal RNA is filed under the name Pasteurella multocida. RNAcentral's name for it is "partial 23S ribosomal RNA". It matches the Rfam family "Bacterial large subunit ribosomal RNA", at positions 2083 to 2925 of the family's 2925-position model. Lineage: Bacteria; Pseudomonadati; Pseudomonadota; Gammaproteobacteria; Pasteurellales; Pasteurellaceae. The record is from RNAcentral.